This 468-nucleotide ribosomal RNA is filed under the name uncultured bacterium. RNAcentral describes it as "partial 16S ribosomal RNA". It matches the Rfam family "Bacterial small subunit ribosomal RNA", at positions 28 to 507 of the family's 1533-position model. The record is from RNAcentral.
GACGAACGCUGGCGGCGUGCUUAACACAUGCAAGUCGAACGGAAAGGCCCUGCUUUUGUGGGGUGCUCGAGUGGCGAACGGGUGAGUAACACGUGAGUAACCUGCCCUUGACUUUGGGAUAACUUCAGGAAACUGGGGCUAAUACCGGAUAGGAGCUCCUGCUGCAUGGUGGGGGUUGGAAAGUUUCGGCGGUUGGGGAUGGACUCGCGGCUUAUCAGCUUGUUGGUGGGGUAGUGGCUUACCAAGGCUUUGACGGGUAGCCGGCCUGAGAGGGUGAACGGCCACAUUGGGACUGAGAUACGGCCCAGACUCCUACGGGAGGCAGCAGUGGGGAAUAUUGCACAAUGGGCGGAAGCCUGAUGCAGCAACGUCGCGUGCGGGAUGACGGCCUUCGGGUUGUAAACCGCUUUCGCAUGUGACGAAGCGUGAGUGACGGUAAUGGGUAAAGAAGCACCGGCUAACUACGUG